Molecule: non-coding RNA, 82 nt
Organism: Acanthopagrus latus (yellowfin seabream)
Lineage: Eukaryota; Metazoa; Chordata; Actinopteri; Spariformes; Sparidae
Source: the annotation of a RefSeq genome assembly
GGUAGUGUGGCCGAGUGGUCUAAGGCGCUGGAUUAAGGCUCCAGUCUCUCAGGAGGCGUGGGUUCAAAUCCCUCCACUGCCA